CCCUUCCUCUACUGUUUUCUCUAGUCUCUCAACAAGGGGAGGCUCAGGUCCACAAGUAUUAUCUGUUCUAAUAAACUUGUUGAAAUCUCGUCCUACGCUUUUAGCUGCUCUUUCCAGUUCAGGUAUGAUGCUUUCUGGCAAAACUGCACUUCUUGUAUAUACAACAGCACCACCAUAUCCAUCCCAUGCAUCAUUCUUGCCCCGAUAGUACACGAAUACAUAAUCAUCAUUGCUAUUUUCUAUCUUGGACGACAAAAUAUACCUAGAUAUGACAUAUAUGUUAUGGUUAUUCUUGACAAAUUCAGCAAACGGCACAACCAUGAUACUCGAAGCUGUAGGAGAAAUUUUACUCUCUGCUGAUUAUGUGAUGUAUAUUAUAAGCAUUGAAUGGGUUACGUGCAUAGAUAAGGUCUAUGCCAGGUUUGAGUGUUCAUUUGUUCUUCAUUCACAAGGUCACAAGUGAUGAAACUCCAUGCAUUUUACAAGUAUCAGUGCAGCUUAUGACUUUUAUUCUCAAAUUAGGAUAACUACUAAUUGUAUAGAUGGUGUAAAUGCAGGGUGAAUGGUGAAGCCCUCAAGGCUGAAUUUUAAUAACUCAAUCAAUGCUCCUGAAAUGCAUUAAAUCAGUAAUUAAUAAGUGAAUCCUGAACUUAACAAUGAUGCUUUUAUCCCAAAGGUGAGACUGAAAAACCAGGGACCAAAUGUGCUUAACAGAGUGAAAGCAAACUCAAAAUGACUACCCUAUAAUGUAGAGCAUGUCAAAAGAAAUGAGUAAAAGAACUUUGUCUGCUACCACGAAUGGUUACUGCAGAGUUUUAUCUUUUCAGCCACUAGACACUCUAUUUGGAUUGUUUAGAAUUUCUUUGUACUGGGCUGGGCACAAGCUAAACUAAUUUAAUACAAGUAAAAAGUGAAUUAAAAAUGUGCUGUCAAAUUAGUAAGAGAACGGGAAGAAGGCAUUUA
RNAcentral lists this long non-coding RNA (963 nucleotides) under Ricinus communis (castor bean). Its description in RNAcentral is "long non-coding RNA (RCOM_LNC001897)". Lineage: Eukaryota; Viridiplantae; Streptophyta; Magnoliopsida; Malpighiales; Euphorbiaceae. The record is from RNAcentral.